This 523-nucleotide ribosomal RNA is filed under the name Salmonella enterica. Its description in RNAcentral is "partial 23S ribosomal RNA". It matches the Rfam family "Bacterial large subunit ribosomal RNA", at positions 749 to 1269 of the family's 2925-position model. RNAcentral also lists the same sequence under 1 other name. Lineage: Bacteria; Pseudomonadati; Pseudomonadota; Gammaproteobacteria; Enterobacterales; Enterobacteriaceae. The record is from RNAcentral.
AGGUUGGGUAACACUAACUGGAGGACCGAACCGACUAAUGUUGAAAAAUUAGCGGAUGACCUGUGGCUGGGGGUGAAAGGCCAAUCAAACCGGGAGAUAGCUGGUUCUCCCCGAAAGCUAUUUAGGUAGCGCCUCGUGAAUUCAUCUCCGGGGGUAGAGCACUGUUUCGGCUAGGGGGCCAUCCCGGCUUACCAACCCGAUGCAAACUGCGAAUACCGGAGAAUGUUAUCACGGGAGACACACGGCGGGUGCUAACGUCCGUCGUGAAGAGGGAAACAACCCAGACCGCCAGCUAAGGUCCCAAAGUCAUGGUUAAGUGGGAAACGAUGUGGGAAGGCCCAGACAGCCAGGAUGUUGGCUUAGAAGCAGCCAUCAUUUAAAGAAAGCGUAAUAGCUCACUGGUCGAGUCGGCCUGCGCGGAAGAUGUAACGGGGCUAAACCAUGCACCGAAGCUGCGGCAGCGACACUGUGUGUUGUUGGGUAGGGGAGCGUUCUGUAAGCCUGUGAAGGUGUGUCGUGAGGC